RNAcentral lists this unclassified non-coding RNA (464 nucleotides) under Zea mays. RNAcentral's name for it is "misc RNA Zm00001eb402650". The record is from RNAcentral. Lineage: Eukaryota; Viridiplantae; Streptophyta; Magnoliopsida; Poales; Poaceae.
ACAAAACAAGGACAAUAAUGCAACUAAUUGCCAUCAGAAACUGCUCAAAGAAACAAACAAAAAAAUAAAGGGCUCCAAGAGAGCCUCGGUGCGCUAUGCGUCUCGUCUCAGUAACCUUUUCCCAUGCAGGACGAGCCAAGACAUCGUCCCACCAGAUUCUUUCUUUCGGUGAUCAAUCCAGCCUUGUUGAUCAUGUUCACAAGGAAAUUCACAUUGGGCAAGUGCACAAGGUCGGCCAGGGAGAAAUCAUCACCAGCUUGGCUUCAUUCUGCUCAACCACAGCCAGGUCAGUGGCCCGGCGGCCCAUCAUCGGUGCAAAUGCAAGCUGGAAGAUAAUAGCCAGGCUCGGUGGGUUAAAGCUCUGGCCUUCAGACUCGAUCCAUUGUUCAAUGGCAGCGCGGCCAACCGCGCCAUCUUCUUUGUUGCCAAAGAGGGCCUGGUUACCACUGUCUGCCUACUCAUAU